GUGUUGUAUGAAAGGAGAAGUUAGCAUUCUCCUUAGAUGGGAUGAGAAGAUUCUAGACACGUAUACAAAAGAUUCAUGUUUCAGGUAUUGCCACUUACUUUGUGGCAUCUAACCAUAUCUUUUG
Molecule: non-coding RNA, 124 nt
Filed under: Prolemur simus (greater bamboo lemur)
Lineage: Eukaryota; Metazoa; Chordata; Mammalia; Primates; Lemuridae
Source: RNAcentral